RNAcentral lists this ribosomal RNA (500 nucleotides) under uncultured bacterium. RNAcentral describes it as "partial 16S ribosomal RNA". It matches the Rfam family "Bacterial small subunit ribosomal RNA", at positions 30 to 523 of the family's 1533-position model. The record is from RNAcentral.
AUUGAACGCUGGCGGAAUGCUUUACACAUGCAAGUCGAACGGCAGCACGGACUUCGGUCUGGUGGCGAGUGGCGAACGGGUGAGUAAUGUAUCGGAACGUGCCCAGUCGUGGGGGAUAACGUAGUGAAAAUUACGCUAAUACCGCAUACGAUCUAUGGAUGAAAGCGGGGGAUCGCAAGACCUCGCGCGAUUGGAGCGGCCGAUAUCAGAUUAGGUAGUUGGUGGGGUAAAGGCCCACCAAGCCAACGAUCUGUAGCUGGUCUGAGAGGACGACCAGCCACACUGGAACUGAGACAGGGUCCAGACUCCAACGGGAGGCAGCAGUGGGGAAUUGUGGACAAUGGGCGAAAGCCUGAUGCAGCCAUUCCGCGUGCAGAAUGAAGGCCCUCGGGUUGUAAACUGCUUUUGUACAGAACGAAAAGGUUUCUACUAAUACUAGGAGCUCAUGACGGUACCUGCAGAAUAAGCACCGGCUAACUACGUGCCAGCCGCCGCCGUAA